Molecule: ribosomal RNA, 425 nt
Filed under: uncultured bacterium
Lineage: Bacteria
Description: partial 16S ribosomal RNA
Rfam family: Bacterial small subunit ribosomal RNA
Source: RNAcentral
GUGGGGAAUCUUAGACAAUGGGGGAAACCCUGAUCUAGCCAUGCCGCGUGAGCGAUGAAGGCCUUAGGGUUGUAAAGCUCUUUCAGCUGGGAAGAUAAUGACGGUACCAGCAGAAGAAGCCCCGGCUAACUCCGUGCCAGCAGCCGCGGUAAUACGGAGGGGGCUAGCGUUGUUCGGAAUUACUGGGCGUAAAGCGCGCGUAGGCGGACCAGAAAGUUGGAGGUGAAAUCCCAGGGCUCAACCUUGGAACUGCCUUCAAAACUCCUGGUGUGGAGUUCGAGAGAGGUGAGUGGAAUUCCGAGUGUAGAGGUGAAAUUCGUAGAUAUUCGGAGGAACACCAGUGGCGAAGGCGGCUCACUGGCUCGAUUCUGACGCUGAGGUGCGAAAGCGUGGGGAGCAAACAGGAUUAGAAACCCCAGUAGUCC